Non-coding RNA from Notechis scutatus (mainland tiger snake), 459 nucleotides. The record is from RefSeq and is a predicted model, not a curated record. Lineage: Eukaryota; Metazoa; Chordata; Lepidosauria; Squamata; Elapidae.
UCUUCCAGGCAGAAAAAACUGGAUGGCACACAUAAGGAGGGAAAACAAAACAAAAACUCAUAAUCCAUCUCUGGCUGAUGUUUCAUUUCCUGCAGAAAAUGAAGUAAUCUGACUGCAGGGAGGAGAUUAAAAAAGAUUGGGUCAGGUUUUAAUCCUUUGCCGGAGGGGGGCGAUGACGGAGGAUGGAGGCAGGUUUAUAGGGAGCAGCAACUGGAUGGAGCUGCAAAUUCCACUCAGGAAUAUUGUCUCCACUCACAGCUACAACAGGAGGUGCAACCAUGAAGCUAGUGUUGGCUGUUGCGGUCCUCCUGAUAACUUUGUCUGCAGUGGUGGCAGGUAAGACCUGGGGAAGGAGAGGAUGCUUUCACUGGCGGGAGAAAACAGGCCCCUUCCCCUUCAGUGUGAUGGAUUGCUAGUAAGGAACUCUUGGAGAGAGGGAGGGAGGGAGGGAGGGAGGGA